Molecule: small RNA, 89 nt
Filed under: Paenibacillus phyllosphaerae
Lineage: Bacteria; Bacillati; Bacillota; Bacilli; Caryophanales; Paenibacillaceae
Description: BsrC
Rfam family: BsrC
About the family: The 301 nucleotide sequence from Kouji Nakamura has been trimmed to a highly conserved ~85 nucleotide long core to form this family.
Source: Rfam by way of RNAcentral
UUGCACGAAAACAACGAAAGCCCUAACCUCUCAAUCGUCCUUGCGGUUCCUAGACCGCGCCAGUGGUGAAUCCGUGUUCCUUCAACUGC